UGAGAUGUAGCUCAGCGGUAGAGCACUUGCCUAGUGUGUGCAAGGCUCUGGAUUUGAUUUCCAGCAUUGCAA
Molecule: transfer RNA, 72 nt
Filed under: Cavia porcellus (domestic guinea pig)
Lineage: Eukaryota; Metazoa; Chordata; Mammalia; Rodentia; Caviidae
Rfam family: tRNA
About the family: Transfer RNA (tRNA) molecules are approximately 80 nucleotides in length. Their secondary structure includes four short double-helical elements and three loops (D, anti-codon, and T loops). Further hydrogen bonds mediate the characteristic L-shaped molecular structure. tRNAs have two regions of fundamental functional importance: the anti-codon, which is responsible for specific mRNA codon recognition, and the 3' end, to which the tRNAs corresponding amino acid is attached (by aminoacyl-tRNA synthetases). tRNAs cope with the degeneracy of the genetic code in two manners: having more than one tRNA (with a specific anti-codon) for a particular amino acid; and 'wobble' base-pairing, i.e. permitting non-standard base-pairing at the 3rd anti-codon position.
Source: Rfam by way of RNAcentral